RNAcentral lists this ribosomal RNA (253 nucleotides) under uncultured bacterium. RNAcentral describes it as "partial 16S ribosomal RNA". It matches the Rfam family "Bacterial small subunit ribosomal RNA", at positions 524 to 776 of the family's 1533-position model. The record is from RNAcentral.
UACGGGGGGGGCAAGCGUUGUUCGGAAUUACUGGGCGUAAAGGGCGCGUAGGCUGUGCUGCAAGUCAGGCGUGAAAGCCCCGGGCUCAACCUGGGAAUUGCGCUUGAUACUGCGGCGCUGGAAGGUGGGAGAGGAUGGCGGAAUUCCCAGUGUAGAGGUGAAAUUCGUAGAUAUUGGGAAGAACACCGGUGGCGAAGGCGGGUCUCUGGGCCGAUACUGACGCUGAGGAGCGAAAGCGUGGGGAGCAAACAGG